Molecule: transfer RNA, 76 nt
Filed under: Planctomycetota bacterium
Lineage: Bacteria; Pseudomonadati; Planctomycetota
Description: tRNA-Lys
Rfam family: tRNA
About the family: Transfer RNA (tRNA) molecules are approximately 80 nucleotides in length. Their secondary structure includes four short double-helical elements and three loops (D, anti-codon, and T loops).
Source: RNAcentral
GCCUCCGUAGCUCAAUUGGUAGAGCAGCUGACUCUUAAUCAGCGGGUCGUAGGUUCAAAUCCUACCGGGGGUACCA